Molecule: ribosomal RNA, 328 nt
Filed under: uncultured eukaryote
Lineage: Eukaryota
Description: partial 18S ribosomal RNA
Rfam family: Eukaryotic small subunit ribosomal RNA
Source: RNAcentral
CCCUUAGAUGUUCUGGGCCGCACGCGCGCUACACUGAUGCAUUCAACGAGUCCAACCUUGACCGAGAGGUCCGGGUAAUCUUUUGAAAGUGCAUCGUGAUUGGGAUAGAUGAUUGCAAUUCUUCAUCUUCAACGAGGAAUGCCUAGUAAACGCAAGUCAUCAGCUUGCAUUGAUUACGUCCCUGCCCUUUGUACACACCGCCCGUCGCUCCUACCGAUUGAAUGAUCCGAUGAAUACCAUGGAUUGAGAGUACGAAUAGGUUCGCUUAUUUCUACUUCUUGAGAAGUGGAGUAAAUCUUAUCAUUUAGAGGAAGGAGAAGUCGUAACA